CUGCUAGGCUCAGCGGCUUGAGCAGUGGCUUGAAACUGACUCUCAGGGGUCUGAGACCUAGGCAGAACCAUGAGCCCAGACCAGAGAGACAGGAGCUUGGAGCUGGAUGGGACCUUUAAGAUAACCUAGUCUAACUGCCUGAUUUUAUGGGUGAGGAAGAUGUAGACAAGUUCUCUAGGAUGUCCCCAAAUUGAAGAGAAGAAAGUGACCUGAAGUACAGCAGAAUCCUUUCUCCCAUCGUUCUGCUCAGAGACUUUGGAACCGAUAUCCGAUGUCCAGGUCUGGCUGAAGAGUGCUGGUUCCCAUAAGUGCCACACUGCACAUUGAUGGGUGAUCCCUGGAGUGGUAAGAGCAGAGCUGUGCUGGUUACCUGCCAAGACUGGC
Molecule: long non-coding RNA, 384 nt
Filed under: Mustela putorius furo (domestic ferret)
Lineage: Eukaryota; Metazoa; Chordata; Mammalia; Carnivora; Mustelidae
Description: lncRNA (ENSMPUG00000030711.1)
Source: RNAcentral